This 108-nucleotide small RNA is filed under the name Cricetulus griseus (Chinese hamster). Its description in RNAcentral is "5.8S ribosomal RNA". Lineage: Eukaryota; Metazoa; Chordata; Mammalia; Rodentia; Cricetidae. The record is from RNAcentral.
CUCAGACAGGUGUAGCCGCGGCAGGAUCCCGGGGCUGCAAGUGUAUUCGAAGUGUCGAUGAUCAAUGUCCUGCAAUUCACAUUAAUUCUCACAGCUAGCUGUGUUCUU